CCUACGGGGUGCAGCAGUGGGGAAUAUUGGACAAUGGGCGAAAGCCUGAUCCAGCCAUGCCGCGUGUGUGAAGAAGGCCUUCGGGUUGUAAAGCACUUUCAGUGGGGAAGAAAGCCUUGGGGCUAAUACCCUCGAGGAAGGACAUCACCCACAGAAGAAGCACCGGCUAACUCCGUGCCAGCAGCCGCGGUAAUACGGAGGGUGCGGGCGUUAAUCGGAAUUACUGGGCGUAAAGCGCGCGUAGGCGGUCUGAUAAGCCGGUUGUGAAAGCCCCGGGCUCAACCUGGGAACGGCAUCCGGAACUGUCAGGCUAGAGUGCAGGAGAGGAAGGUAGAAUUCCCGGUGUAGCGGUGAAAUGCGUAGAGAUCGGGAGGAAUACCAGUGGCGAAGGCGGCCUUCUGGACUGACACUGACGCUGAGGGGCGAAAGCGUGGGUAGCAAACAGGAUUAGAUACCCUGGUAGUC
RNAcentral lists this ribosomal RNA (465 nucleotides) under Vreelandella stevensii. RNAcentral describes it as "partial 16S ribosomal RNA". It matches the Rfam family "Bacterial small subunit ribosomal RNA", at positions 338 to 795 of the family's 1533-position model. Lineage: Bacteria; Pseudomonadati; Pseudomonadota; Gammaproteobacteria; Oceanospirillales; Halomonadaceae. The record is from RNAcentral.